GGGAGGCAGCAGCAAGGAAUUUUCGGCAAUGGGCGCAAGCCUGACCGAGCAACGCCGCGUGGAGGAUGACGGCUUUCGGGUUGUAAACUCCUUUUGGGAGGGACGAUAAUGACGGUACCUUCCGAAUAAGCCCCGGCUAACUCUGUGCCAGCAGCCGCGGUAAUACAGAGGUCCCAAGCGUUGUUCGGAUUCACUGGGCGUAAAGGGUGCGCAGGUGGGCUGGCAAGUUCGAUGUGAAAGCCCCGGGCUUAACCCGGGAAUGGCAUUGAAAACUGUCGGUCUGGAGGGUUGGAGGGGGGACUGGAAUUCUUGGUGUAGCAGUGAAAUGCGUAGAUAUCAAGAG
RNAcentral lists this ribosomal RNA (343 nucleotides) under Pycnococcus provasolii. Its description in RNAcentral is "partial Bacterial small subunit ribosomal RNA". It matches the Rfam family "Bacterial small subunit ribosomal RNA", at positions 343 to 703 of the family's 1533-position model. The record is from RNAcentral. Lineage: Eukaryota; Viridiplantae; Chlorophyta; Pseudoscourfieldiophyceae; Pseudoscourfieldiales; Pycnococcaceae.